CUACGGGUUGCUCCAGUAGGGAAUAUUGGACAAUGGGCGAAAGCCUGAUCCAGCAACACCGCGUGCACGAUGACGGCCUUCGGGUUGUAAAGUGCUUUUAGAGGAGAUGAGAAAGGACAGUAUCCUCUGAAUAAGCCUCGGCGAACUACGUGCCAGCAGCCGCGGUAAAACGUAGGAGGCAAGCGUUAUCCGGAUUUAUUGGGCGUAAAGCGCGUGCAGGCGGUCUAGCAAGUUGGAUGUGAAAGCUCCCGGCUCAACUGGGAGAGGUCGUUCAAUACUGUUAGACUAGAGAAUAGGAGAGGGAGGUGGAAUUCUGGGUGUAGUGGUGAAAUGCGUAGAUAUCCGGAGGAACACCAGUGGCGAAAGCGGCCUCCUGGACUAUUUCUGACGCUAAGACGCGAAAGCUAGGGUAGCAAACGGGAUUAGAUACCCCUGUAGUC
Molecule: ribosomal RNA, 440 nt
Filed under: uncultured bacterium
Lineage: Bacteria
Description: partial 16S ribosomal RNA
Rfam family: Bacterial small subunit ribosomal RNA
Source: RNAcentral